RNAcentral lists this ribosomal RNA (437 nucleotides) under uncultured bacterium. Its description in RNAcentral is "bacterial SSU rRNA". It matches the Rfam family "Bacterial small subunit ribosomal RNA", at positions 29 to 510 of the family's 1533-position model. The record is from RNAcentral.
AACGAACGCUGGCGGCAGGCUUAACACAUGCAAGUCGAACGGGCACCUUCGGGUGUCAGUGGCAGACGGGUGAGUAACGCGUGGGAACGUACCCUUCGGUUCGGAAUAACCCAGGGAAACUUGGGCUAACACCGGAUACGUCCGCAAGGAGAAAGAUUUAUCGCCGAAGGAUCGGCCCGCGUCGGAUUAGCUAGUUGGUGGGGUAAUGGCCCACCAAGGCGACGAUCCGUAGCUGGUCUGAGAGGAUGAUCAGCCACACUGGGACUGAGACACGGCCCAGACUCCUACGGGAGGCAGCAGUGGGGAAUAUUGGACAAUGGGCGAAAGCCUGAUCCAGCCAUGCCGCGUGAGUGAAGAAGGCCUUAGGGUUGUAAAGCUCUUUCAGCGGGAAGAUAAUGACGGUACCCGCAGAAGAAGUCCCGGCUAACUUCGUGCCA